RNAcentral lists this ribosomal RNA (642 nucleotides) under uncultured Ehrlichia sp. RNAcentral's name for it is "bacterial SSU rRNA". It matches the Rfam family "Bacterial small subunit ribosomal RNA", at positions 815 to 1456 of the family's 1533-position model. The record is from RNAcentral. Lineage: Bacteria; Pseudomonadati; Pseudomonadota; Alphaproteobacteria; Rickettsiales; Anaplasmataceae.
GCUGAAUGUGGGGAUAAUUUAUCUUUGUAUUGUAGCUAACGCGUUAAGCACUCCGCCUGGGGACUACGGUCGCAAGACUAAAACUCGAAGGAAUUGACGGGGACCCGCACAAGCGGUGGAGCAUGUGGUUUAAUUCGAUGCUACGCGAAAAACCUUACCACUUUUUGACAUGAAGGUCGUAUCCCUCCUAACAGGGGGAGUCAGUUCGGCUGGACCUUACACAGGUGCUGCAUGGUUGUCGUCAGCUCGUGUCGUGAGAUGUUGGGUUAAGUCCCGCAACGAGCGCAACCCUCAUUCUUAGUUACCAACAGGUAGUGCUGGGCACUCUAAGGAAACUGCCAGUGAUAAACUGGAGGAAGGUGGGGAUGAUGUCAAAUCAGCACGGCCCUUAUAGGGUGGGCUACACACGUGCUACAAUGGCAACUACAAUAGGUUGCAAGACCGCAAGGUUUAGCUAAUCCAUAAAAGUUGUCUCAGUUCGGAUUGUUCUCUGAAACUCGAGAGCAUGAAGUCGGAAUCGCUAGUAAUCGUGGAUCAUCACGCCACGGUGAAUACGUUCUCGGGUCUUGUACACACUGCCCGUCACGCCAUGGGAAUUGGCUUAACUCGAAGCUGGUGUGCUAACCGAAAGGAAGCAGCCAU